RNAcentral lists this ribosomal RNA (572 nucleotides) under uncultured Glomeromycotina. Its description in RNAcentral is "SSU rRNA". It matches the Rfam family "Eukaryotic small subunit ribosomal RNA", at positions 548 to 1114 of the family's 1831-position model. The record is from RNAcentral. Lineage: Eukaryota; Fungi; Glomeromycota.
UUGGAGGGCAAGUCUGGUGCCCGCAGCCGCGGUAAUUCCAGCUCCUAUAGCGUAUAUUAAAGUUGUUGCGGUUAAAAAGCUCGUAGUUGAAUUUCGGGAUUGACGUGACGGUCAUGCCUUAAGGGGUAGGAACUGUUACUGAUGAUUUCUCACCUUCUGGAGAAACUUGAUGUCCUUUAUUGGGUGUCUUGCGGAUCCAGGACCUUUACCUUGAAAAAAUUAGAGUGUUUAAAGCAGGCAUUUUUGCUCGAAUACAUUAGCAUGGAAUAAUAGAAUAGGACGGCAUGGUUCUAUUUUGUUGGUUUCUAGGAUCACCGUAAUGAUUAAUAGGGAUAGUUGGGGGCAUUAGUAUUCAAUUGUCAGAGGUGAAAUUCUUGGAUUUAUUGAAGACUAACUACUGCGAAAGCAUUUGCCAAGGAUGUUUUCAUUAAUCAAGAACGAAAGUUAGGGGAUCGAAGACGAUCAGAUACCGUCGUAGUCUUAACCAUAAACUAUGCCGACUAGGAAUCAGACGAUGUUAAUUUUUUAAUGACUCGUUUGGCACCUUACGGGAAACCAAAGUGUUUGGGUUC